GGAUAUGUAGCUCAACGGUAGAGCGACAGCAAGGAACGGCAGCGCAUAUAAUUGUCACCACAGAAGCGCGGAGUGGCAAGCCUAAUCCCCUCGACAGUAGGAUGAUUGUUCGAAUCAAUCCAUAUCCCA
RNAcentral lists this transfer RNA (129 nucleotides) under Caudoviricetes sp. Its description in RNAcentral is "tRNA-OTHER". It matches the Rfam family "tRNA". Rfam says of the family: Transfer RNA (tRNA) molecules are approximately 80 nucleotides in length. Their secondary structure includes four short double-helical elements and three loops (D, anti-codon, and T loops). Further hydrogen bonds mediate the characteristic L-shaped molecular structure. tRNAs have two regions of fundamental functional importance: the anti-codon, which is responsible for specific mRNA codon recognition, and the 3' end, to which the tRNAs corresponding amino acid is attached (by aminoacyl-tRNA synthetases). tRNAs cope with the degeneracy of the genetic code in two manners: having more than one tRNA (with a specific anti-codon) for a particular amino acid; and 'wobble' base-pairing, i.e. permitting non-standard base-pairing at the 3rd anti-codon position. The record is from RNAcentral. Lineage: Duplodnaviria; Heunggongvirae; Uroviricota; Caudoviricetes.